AUUGAACGCUGGCGGCAUGCCUUACACAUGCAAGUCGAACGGCAGCACGGGUACUUGCACCUGGUGGCGAGUGGCGAACGGGUGAGUAAUACAUCGGAACGUACCUUAUCGUGGGAGAUAACGCAGCGAAAGCUGUGCUAAUACCGCAUACGCCCUGAGGGGGAAAGCGGGGGAUCGCAAGACCUCGCGCGAUUAGAGCGGCCGAUGGCUGAUUAGCUAGUUGGUGAGGUAAAGGCCCACCAAGGCAACGAUCAGUAGCAGGUCUGGGAGGAUGAUCUGCCACACUGGAACUGAGAAACGGUCCAGACUCCUACGGGAGGCAGCAGUGGGGAAUUUUGGACAAUGGGGGCAACCCUGAUCCAGCAAUGCCGCGUGAGUGAAGAAGGCCUUCGGGUUGUAAAGCUCUUUUGUCAGUGAAGAAAACUUUAAUAAUAACACUAUUAAAGCAUGACGGUAACUGAAGAAUAAGGACCGGCUAACUACGUGCCAGCCGCCGCAGUAA
Molecule: ribosomal RNA, 502 nt
Filed under: uncultured bacterium
Lineage: Bacteria
Description: partial 16S ribosomal RNA
Rfam family: Bacterial small subunit ribosomal RNA
Source: RNAcentral